AUAUUGUCAAAAGAGACUAAUUUCUUAAAAAUGAAAAUUCUCUCCUCAGUUUACAAUACACCAAACAGGAGCUCAGGGUUGCUGUGUGGAGGGGCACAGAACUCAUGCCCUUCCUGUGAGCAGACACCCUACAUAU
Molecule: small nucleolar RNA, 136 nt
Organism: Artibeus jamaicensis (Jamaican fruit-eating bat)
Lineage: Eukaryota; Metazoa; Chordata; Mammalia; Chiroptera; Phyllostomidae
Product: small nucleolar RNA SNORA11
Exons: 1
Source: RefSeq, a predicted model, not a curated record